Molecule: small RNA, 552 nt
Filed under: Pan troglodytes (chimpanzee)
Lineage: Eukaryota; Metazoa; Chordata; Mammalia; Primates; Hominidae
Description: retained intron
Source: RNAcentral
AUUAUAUUGUUUGCUUUUAAAAUUACCUUAAGGAAAUAACUGUCCGCUUCUAAUAAUGUUUAGUCGUUUAUUUGGUAAGUAAUUAAAGCACCAUCACUCUCCUGCCCUCGUCUUCAGGUGAUAAUCUAGACAUAGAGGGAGUGAGCCAACAAGUUGCUGUUAGAGUUAACUUGUUCCCUAACCCAUCUUGUGAAUAUCAAUGCUAACAACAGUGUCUUGUGUUUUUUUUUCUUUUCUUUUCUUUUUCUUUAAAUCAAUGUGCUUUUUUCCUAUGUGAAUAACUAUAUGUCUAGAAACAGCCAUGGAGUGAUUUUGCUGUUCUGAAUGGGGGAAAGAUUAAUAGUGACAUUUGGAAGGAUUUGCAUGCAGCCACUGUUAACCCGGACCCCAGUUUAAAAGAGUUUGAAGGAGCAACCCUACGCUAUGCAUCUUUGAAACUCAGAAAUGCCCCACACCCUGAUGAUGAUGAUUCUUGUAGUAUCAACAGUGACCCAGAAGCCAAGUGUUUUGCUGUGCGUUCUCUGGGAUGGGUAGAGAUGGCAGAAGAGGACC